Molecule: ribosomal RNA, 228 nt
Filed under: uncultured bacterium
Lineage: Bacteria
Description: partial 16S ribosomal RNA
Rfam family: Bacterial small subunit ribosomal RNA
Source: RNAcentral
CGGGUGAGUAAUGCAUCGGAACAUGUCCAGUCGUGGGGGAUAGCCCGGCGAAAGCCGGAUUAAUACCGCAUACGCCCGAGAGGGGAAAGUGGGGGACCGCAAGGCCUCACGCGAAUGGGUUGGCCGAUGUCCGAUUAGCUAGUUGGCGGGGUAAAGGCCCACCAAGGCGAUGAUCGGUAGCUGGUCUGAGAGGAUGAUCAGCCACACUGGGACUGAGACACGGCCCAG